Molecule: long non-coding RNA, 1478 nt
Organism: Dreissena polymorpha
Lineage: Eukaryota; Metazoa; Mollusca; Bivalvia; Myida; Dreissenidae
Exons: 4
Source: RefSeq, a predicted model, not a curated record
CUGAAGAAUGCUAGAUAAACAAGUAAUACAAAAUAGCAAGAAUUGUUAUGUAUAGAAAAUAGUUGUGACUACUGAAUUUAUUGUUUAUUAUGUUGUUUUACUCGAGGAAGAAUACUGGCGGAGUUUAAAGACUUCUCCUGGCUUCAAAAAGUGCUCCCAGCCCACAUCUAUCAUCCUUACCAAACUGAGAUGAGGCAAAAAUCUGAAGUUUUUCAGCUACCAAUCAUCCUUUAGAAUGAGGCCAAGCAUGAGGAUUGUAUAGAUAUAUUGGACCAGUAUCAACAGGUCCUUGGUGAUGUUUACAUGAAGGCAUUUGUUACUGAGGGUUUUACAGACAGUUAGGAUACAGGAUCCACUGACCUUCUUCGGUCCUAUAAAGUCCCUGUUGGUGGUGAUCAAUUAACUCGUGAGCGUCUAGAGGAAGCGAAACACCUUCGUUCCUUAGCUACCUAACCAGAAAAGUGGUUUGAAGAUCUCCACCCUUUCAAAAUAGAGCUCUGGCACAUCAAGCAGGACUUCUUGGAGAAAUGCUUUAAAGAGCUGUUCAGUUCCAAAACUCUGAGACAAACUGGAACCCUAUACCAUUACAAGGGCAAGUUGCAAAGGAGCGAUGUAAAUGGAAAGGUUAAUGGCGCCUUUAAAGCGCAUCACGAUUUCCUGUCGCUGGCAGGUAAACAGAUGGUGAAGGUGCAGCUGAUGGAGUUCUUUGGCAUGGAGAGCCCUGAUUCCAGUUGCACCCGAAAUGUUAUUCAGCUGGUGAAGUCAAAAUCCGAAAACUAUGAAUCACUGUUAAAUUCAUUGCGACAGUUCCUUGACCACUUUGGCUAUCUAGACUAUGUACAUGAGACUGAUGGUGUGGUGUCCAAUGACACAGAUGAUACUGUGUAUACUGAGAGGUGGAGCUGCAGGAAAUAUUGAAAGUGAUCUUGUACAAGAAAACUCUGUAAGAAACCAAAAGGAUUUAAUCAGGGCUUUGGGUGCAAAUAAGGCGGAAAAAGCAAUUCAAAGAAGUUGCAGAGCCGCAGACACUGUGUCCGACAUUGUCGAGAAAAUAGAGAUUUCCACAUCAGUAAGGAAAGUUUCUAGUAGGCAUCAAACGCCAGCCAGAAUAAAAGAUAAGGAAGUGAUUGCCAAUUCUUUGAGGGACUUGCGACCGUUUUCUAAAACAAUAGGAAGAGUGUGUCAAGGCAUACCAAAUGUCCUAUGUUCAUCAGUCAGAAAAAUUAACUCUGUUGAUCUUAAGUACAGGAUCAAGCAAGUAGUAGACAGGCUGUAUUAUGGAAAUACUAUCAAUUUUGACCAUGAAUCGUCUGAGGAGGACUGCUAGGGUGUGUUACAUGGAGUGACGUAAUAAGUGUGCCCUACAAUUUUAAACCUCAGUCCUGUAUAUUAGUUGAUUUGAAACUAAGAGUUUUGAAAUUGUUUGUUAUGGACAUCUUAUUAACCACAAUGCAAGCAAAAAAUGCAUAAAAAUUGAA